GGCGCUCGCGUUUACGUAAUAUACACUAUUGACUUACAAGUACGUCAUCUGCCAAAUUAUAUACGGCGCUCGCGUUUCCGUAAUAUACACUAUUGACUUACAAGUACGUCAUCUGCCAAAUUAUAUACGGCGCUCGCGUUUCCGUAAUAUACACUGUUGACUUACAAGUACGUCAUCUGCCAAAUUAUAUACAGCGCUCGCAUUUACAUAAUAUACACUAUUGACUUACAAGUACGUCAUCUUCCAACAAAAAUCAAAGCCUUAAUCUCAGACAGUCUUUGGUUUGAAUUGAUAUUUAAGAAGCCAAUCAGAUGUCUUUAAAUUGAUAUCCAACAUGUAUCAUAUCUUCAUGUGCUAAUAUCUUACAUUGUUGCCUAAAACAUUUACGCAGAGGUACGCUUGGUGAUUACUGUAAAGAAUUCAUAUUUGUUUAGUGCAUUUGGCACUGUUCUUUUGCCAUUCUUCGUCAUUAUUGUUAGGUCUAUAACCCUUCGGACUACUGAACCUUCGGAUCAUUGAACCUUCGGACUGUUGAACCUUCGGACUAUAGAGAUGUAACCCCUCCAGCCUUUAGAAGAGAAAUACUCCACGAUGAGGAAGAUUUGUUUGUUGCAGCAGUAUCUUUUACUUCUAAUACUCGGCUGUUCAAUGAAUUAUUGUGCUUGUAUUCUUUCAAAGGACAGAACUAUACCAGUAAUUGGUCAGCCACUGACUCUAACAUACAACAAUAAUGAGAUAACAGACAUUACAGAUACAGUUCGUUUCUUUGUGAAUACAUCUAUAGAGGGAGUAUGUUUGAAGAACCACGGAACGUGUGGCUCUGGAACAGGGAAUAAUGUCAUGAGAAUCUCGUCAAAUGUAAUCGGACUUGAAAUACAUUCAUUUAAUGCAACACGGCAUGCUGGUGCUUGGAGAGUACAGGAAGGAUUCAGUAGCACCAGUGUAUUUUCAAAUUAUUUGAAUUUAACACCUCCAUU
Molecule: long non-coding RNA, 977 nt
Organism: Gigantopelta aegis
Lineage: Eukaryota; Metazoa; Mollusca; Gastropoda; Neomphalida; Peltospiridae
Exons: 3
Source: RefSeq, a predicted model, not a curated record